UCACUUUCAGGAAGUGAACGGUUGUGUUCUGUUGGGCGCAUUCGUACAGUAGGUCGGCGAUGUCCAUUAAUAAGGCUUUGUGCUUGGAAAUAUGCAGUUUACUCGGAUCGUUUACUGCUCUUUUGAUAAGAUCCAGUGAGGCUUGCGAGUCAGUGGCAAUUGUUAAGGUGAUGUUCACUGCCCUUUGGGUUGAUAGAGCUACGCGUAUUGCUGCCAGCUCUGCCCGUUGGAUGGUAUUCGUACAUCCUUCGCCCGCUGGGUCGAUGUGCAGCGUUUUUCCGGUGGGUCCACAGUAUGCAGCCGCACCCAACUUGUUCUGGCCGUCGUUUUCAGCCGAUUUAAUACAGCUACCGUCGGUCCAUAUGAUAGUGUGCGGGUCCAUCCUGAGUGGUACUUGUCCGGGAAAAGCUGCUGUCAGGCGCUGCUGGAGCAUCUGUCCGUCCGAGUGGGGGGCUGUGGCGGUUGGUCUUGGUCUGGGCGGCUUUGAGGCAUUCAUCUUGCGCAUGACCUGAGCGACUUUGUUUGGGUAGGGUCGUUGGGUGCCGACGCAGUGAGUACCCGCGGACAUGUCCCGCAGUCGCAGAUGUUUUCUGGGGAGGCCGGUGGCGUCCAUCGCUUCGAGUUCGGAUAGGAGCGCCUUCAUGGAUCGGGCGUUUAGUCCUCGGAUCGCCGUGUCGUUGGCCACCACGACGAGGUCCAGGCCCCCCUUGUAGUCAGGGCUGGGGCCGUCAGUUCCAGUCCCGCUGGUAAGCUUGCACGCUUCACCGCGGCUCAGCCGCGCGAGCUGGAAGACAUACGGUGUGUUGUGUAGCUGCGUGUGGGGGCCAGUUCGGCUGUGCGGGACAAUGAGUAGUGGCGGUGGGCAGUGCGGAUGUCAUUGUGUGUGAUGCGCCUGCGACUGCCCACAUUACUGCCUUCUUGACACUGGUGGGGUCAGGGUUCGGGUGUGCUAUCGAGAGGCCUGUAAAUGGCUGAGAGAAUGCAUCUAUGUUUGCCCCGAAGAGUUGGUCUUCUACGUGGACACUGAAGUAGUAUUGCACCUCUUCACCGCAGUUAAGCGGGGAUGAGAACCUUUCGACGACUGGACCGGCAUCCAGGGCGCGCAGGGCAUCAAUCAGCGUACAGCGCAGUUUUCUGCUCAUGGUCGCCUGCGACCGUGGCGGGCCUUUCGUUUCACGCCCGUCGGGGUCCUUUCCGUACCGCAGGAGGAGGCGCGCGAGGUCCUCGGUGAAGCCGCCCUGGGAGGACAGGCUUCUGUGCACCUCCGGGUAAGUGUCGAUCGUGUGUUGGUAUCGCACUUUGAGGGUCUCCAGGCGUUGCAGGGUGAGGGUGCCCACGCAUUUCCCUCUCGGGUCGUAGACGAAGGCCGUGUUCCCUUCGGUCGAGCCGCCCUCUCUGGUUAGCAGACCUAGCUGGAUUCGGUAAUUUCCCGUGGGGCGCGUGUCCAUGUAUGGGUUGCACGGCGCAGUCUCAAAGGUAGUGUUUGCUCGAAUAAGGCGUGCCCGCUGGGUCUGCUCCGAGGGGGGCGGGUUCCAUCGGCCUUGCCUCUGAGGGUUCGUUAGAUUGCUGUCCUUGGGUUUGGGGUAUCUCGAGAGGGGGUUCACGCUCUGCGACCUCGUUUGCUCGUACCUCGCCAUCGCCGCUGGUCCGUUGGGUAGCCUACCGAGUUGCGCGGCGGGGACAUCUGACGGUUCCCAUACCGCUCUGCGGAAGUGGCGGUCGAUCCGCGUGCCGUAAAGACCUGUCACUGGUAAUAGCUGUCUGGGCACGUAUCCCAUGCUGGCGUAUGCGCCGACGAUAGAUAUCGGGGUGAUAGUGUCUUUCCAGCGAACCGUGUAGUACUGUUCGUGGGUUGCGGUCGUAUCGGCCCCGAUUUUCUGUUUCUUGGGAGGUUUAACGUUUGAGGGGACGAUGCGUUUUGUGAUAGGGCCCGCGAGUACUUCUACGAUGUCCUCUACAUCGUUGUAUAGGUCAUAAACUAUCUGUUGUUGCCCCGUUGUGUCCUUUGCCUGGCCUUUUCCAGGCUUCCAGGGUAUCCUGUCCUCCAGUAUUUGAUCGCGGGCGACUUUCCAUCGAGGUCUCCACCAUUGCAGGGUGAGGUGCUCUGGUGGCUUCGGCGUCCCCGGUAGCGCUCCGGCCGGUUCGGGCGCAGGCGGAUCACCGGCGUGGUCCCUGUCGGCGGUGUUCGGGCCGGCCCUUGCCGCCCCCGCGCCUGCGCCGGCGCGAGGGUUACGUGGCGCUACCGGCGUACAGUCGAGUCCCUUUUCUGCAAGGUACACCAGCACUGGGUUUGGGGUACCGAUUUCUCCUGUCACGGGGGUCAUGCCGAUGCUUAGAGUGCGACGGGUUUGCCGGCUUGGGCGCGGUCGCGGUCCCUGGACGAUAGGCCCAGGGGGGUUCCCUAGGUUGGGCACACUCCUACGGGUGUCUUUUCGCAGAGCUGCCAUGACGCAUCUCGUUUCCAUAUAGGAUGUGCAUUGCGGGGCCGGGUCGCGAAGUUGCGCGCCGUGUAUAGCUGCACUAUCUGUUCCCACGUUACUGUUGUCACAGCGUGUAUUGUUGUUGAUGAAAUCCUGUUGCCGCUGGUGGACGGAUCUUGUGCGUUUCCGUCCUGUGCAGGCUGGUUCCGCAGGGUGGCUCGGCGGCGCUGGUGGGUCACUCUCCAUGUCGUCUGGCUCUGCGCGGGGAUGGUGUGGCUUCUCCGUGGUCGUGCUCCACACGACAGGUGUGUCACGGCGUACAUGUGGGUCGAGGGAUGGUGCUAGUAUCGGGUUGGGGAGACUUGAUUUGUGCCGGCGGCCGGUGUACGGAGGGUCACUGGGGAUCUCGCGGAGGCGUCUGUCUUCCAGAGGCAGCGCGGACGACCAGCGACGUGGGUCAUGUGCCUUCGUGUGUGGAGCUUGGGGGCAUUGGGCACUUAUCGCUAGGCUUAGUCGAUUCAAGGCGAUCUUGUGCCGGUGCUGCACCUUGCCCCGGGGGAAAAGCUUCUGAAGAUCAGUGGUGGUGAUGAGGUGUUGUGUUGUGUUCUUGUCUAUGAGCGCGUGCAUGUCUAGGCCCAGCUCUGUCAAGGGGAGCAAGCAUCUGUACGGCAGGGUUUCGGACUUUGUGUCCUGCCGCGCGUUGACGGCGGAGGCGGCCGUCAUGAGAGUGUUUAGGGAUGUGUUAUACGGCAUCCCUUUGUCGGUGACCGCGAUGCCAUGGUCUCGCGCCAGGGUCAGCUGUUUCAGGGUCGUGUAGAAACUGCUCUCGCGUUUCAACGUGUGCAUCCUAGUGUCGGCCGCAAGACGACACUGCAGCUCAAGCAUGGCUCGUGUCACGACGCCUAGCCGGCCUUCAUCAUUCAGGGAGAGGACCAGCGCGCAAGCUGCCAUGCGCACAUAGAUCGGUAGCAGGGACCCAACGCCGAGUCCAUAUUGUUCCACCGGUAGCAGCACGGCGCGUGUGGGAAAACUGGUGGGCAAGCGGUAGCAGCGUCGGGCUGCGCGUGCGAUCAUCGCGUCCAAAAGUCUGAUAUCAUUAGGAGUGUAUGCCAUGGUGGAGAAGCUGUAUGACACUACUGCUUGUAUACAAGUCUGUAUGAUUCUGAUACAUUGGUCCGGCGAUGCUAGGGAUCCCUGAAGUAGGUCGCCCUUGUCCCUCACCGCCUUGCAGACGUGGGACAUCUGUGCGCUCCAGUUGAGGGUCAGCGUUACGUGGACCCCAAGGUACUUGUAGGGUUCCGUGGGGGGUAGGUACGGCACUGACUGGCCGCUGAUUUUGAUUUUUUCAUCCAAGGCUGCCUUGAGGGUGCGUGCACACGUGGGUCCGUUCAGACCUCGGUCGGCCCAUGCCCUGUGGUGCAGGAUGCCCGUCACUGCGCAUUUUUUGUGAUUCACGUGUAGGCCCGCUCAUUUCGAGUACAAGCUGAUCUUGUCGCAUUGUAUUUGUAGGUCUUGUGCGCUGUUGGUCAUCACGGCGAGGUCGUCGGCGUAAGCGGCUGAGCUUCCAUGGUACCUGGCGUUCAGGCUGUCGGGGAGGCAGCCGUACUUGUACCCUCGUCCGCCAGCGUGGAGCCAUCGGAGGAGUGGUUCGAGGAAAAUAAUGAAUAGCACCGGCGAGAGCCUGUCCCCCUGUACUGUGCCUCGUUCGAUCAUUAUUGGCGCUGUGAGGCCGUGUUCUGUCCGUAUAGUGGUCCGCGCUUGGCUGUACAGAUCCCGUACGACAUAGAUGAGGUCCUCGGGUAGCCCUAGGUCGUACAUGAUCUGUAGCAGCAGGUCGUGGUUGAUGGUGUUGAAUGCCGAGGAGAAGUCGACGUAUAACAGGUAGAGAUCUUUGCGUGUGAGCCCAGCAUCCUCAAUGACGUGGAGCAGGUUUUGGAUUUGCCGUUCCGUGUUUCUGUACUGGAGGAACCCUUCUUGCGCCUCGCUAAACAACGCGAGUUCGGGAGCGACGUCCCCGAUGGACACUGUGACGAGGCUAGUCCAUAACUUAUAAAGAGUGUUGGCGAGGGCAAUGGGUCGCUUGUUGUUCAGGAGGAGCGCAUCUCCUGCUUUUGGUAAAAGGACCGUAACGGAUUCAGUCCAUUGCUUUGGCGUGCGGGCCUGGGCCCACAUGACUUUCAGGAGGUCGUGGAUGGUGGACUGUAAGGCAGUGGGCAAUGCUCUCAGUAGCUCGUUAGGUAUCCCAUCGGGUCCCGGUGUUUUAUUGCGGGCCAGGUGUUGGACACACUUGUUAAAGUUAAAAGGGUCGGCGACGCUGCUAAGCAGGACGUGGUCCGCGGCCUGUUUCGGGCUGGUNNNNNNNNNNNNNNNNNNNNNNNNNNNNNNNNNNNNNNNNNNNNNNNNNNNNNNNNNNNNNNNNNNNNNNNNNNNNNNNNNNNNNNNNNNNNNNNNNNNNNNNNNCUGUGCGCGGGGAGGUCGGGAUGAACAUGAUGUCUGGGCGGAGGCGACGGAUUCCUCGUCCGCUAAGUGUGGCAGCAUCCAUUUGGGGACGCGCGUCCCACUGCAGUACGGCGGGAGAUCCUCUUCUUUACCGGCGUCCAUAAUCAUGAAGCCACCACCGUGGUGGCCCCCGUUGACGCAGUCGGCAAUAGUGCGCGUCGCUUGGUUAUGCCGGUUGAUGUACAUGCCCUUCAUGGUUGGGUGGGGGCACCCGCCGAGUAUGUGGGCUCCUGAGUCGGGUGUGGGGCCGGUCGGGCCGCAGCUGCGGCAGAUAGGGCAGUUGCCGUCUCCGCCUCGUCCGUAAAGUUUCUUUAGUUUAGCAUUGAAUAGCAGCCCGUAUCGAGCUUUCAGUACUUGCAGUUUGAGCCAGUGUGACAUCUUUGCGUUACUAAGGAAGGAAUUGCUAGAUUUGGGGUCUAACUUCGAGGCGGUGUUACGCCAUUUUUCAGUUAGUAUUGUGUCGUUGGUAUAGCCUGCGAAGGUACCUUGCUGGAGACGCUUAUAAAGGCCUUUGUUCAGGUCACUAACGUACAGACCAGUGUCGCGUUGUUUCAGCCAGAACACUUUAUCGAACGGGGCAUUGUCGGCCUUUUCAGUAAAUGUUGGUGGGUUCUCACCUCGUGCGACAGAUGUUGCUCCUUUGUCAGCUUUGUCAUUACCAUCAAGGCCUGUGUGUGAUUUCACUUUCAGGAAGUGAACGGUUGUGUUCUGUUGGGCGCAUUCGUACAGUAGGUCGGCGAUGUCCAUUAAUAAGGCUUUGUGCUUGGAAAUAUGCAGUUUACUCGGAUCGUUUACUGCUCUUUUGAUAAGAUCCAGUGAGGCUUGCGAGUCAGUGGCAAUUGUUAAGGUGAUGUUCACUGCCCUUUGGGUUGAUAGAGCUACGCGUAUUGCUGCCAGCUCUGCCCGUUGGAUGGUAUUCGUACAUCCUUCGCCCGCUGGGUCGAUGUGCAGCGUUUUUCCGGUGGGU
RNAcentral lists this long non-coding RNA (5886 nucleotides) under Volvox carteri. Its description in RNAcentral is "long non-coding RNA (VCAR_LNC003179)". Lineage: Eukaryota; Viridiplantae; Chlorophyta; Chlorophyceae; Chlamydomonadales; Volvocaceae. The record is from RNAcentral.